Molecule: long non-coding RNA, 1004 nt
Filed under: Notechis scutatus (mainland tiger snake)
Lineage: Eukaryota; Metazoa; Chordata; Lepidosauria; Squamata; Elapidae
Description: lncRNA (ENSNSUG00000015230.1)
Source: RNAcentral
UGAGUAUUGAACAAAGGAUGGGGAGUAUUGAACAAAAAAUUGAAAAUAUCCAACAGAUGAUGGCGAAGUAUGAUGAGAAACUACAAAAAAUGGAAGAGAAAGACAAUCAAAGAGAUGAGAAAUUGCAAAAAUUAGAAGAGAAAGACAAUCAAAGAGAUGAGAAAAUUGGAAAUAUUGAUGACAGAGUGACAACGCUUGAACAAAACAAGAAUGAGAUGGUGAAGUGGGAGAUGGACAGAUCAGAAUAUUACCUCAGAUUUCAAAAUAUAGAGGAAGAAAAAGGACAAGAUCUUGCUGCAGUAAUGAUAGAAAUCUUGGCUGGAGCUUUGGAAAUAACAGAGGAAAAAAUGAUGGAUGGAAUAGAUGAGAUAUACCGAGUUUUUACAAGAUAUGCAUCGAGGAAUAAGUUACCAAGAGAAGUUCAUGUUAGAUUUACUAAAAAAUCUAUCAGAACGCAGAUAUUACAAGCGGCAAGAGAGAAGACAUUGAAAUAUGGAGAUAAAGAGAUUGGGGUUUUAAAACAAGUACCCAGAAAAAUUAGAGAGAUGAGGAGAGAAUACCGUUUCCUGACUAAAGUAUUAUUGGAAAAGGAGGUGAAUUACAGAUGGUUGAUUCCAGAAGGAUUAAUGGUUACAUGGAAAGAACAGAGAUACAGAAUUGGCUCAAUUGAUGAAGCAGAAUCGUUUUAUAAGGAAUUUUUUAAAAGAAGAGAAACAGAGAUAGAAGAAGACACUACCUUAACUGAAUUUCAAGAGGACCAAAUAGAGAUGGGAAAAGAAGAAGGUGCAGUAGGUGGACAAGUGGAGACUAAAGAUCAACGUGAAGUAAGAUCAACGAGAGCCGUUAGACCUAAAUAUAAAUCAUAACUAUGGAGGAAAAAAAAUUGAUUUCUUUGAAUAUAAAUGGGCUGAAUUCAGCUACUAAAAGAAGGAAAAUUUUUCAUAAAAUAGAGAAAUUAAAAUUUGAUAUAAUUUGUUUACAAGAAGUACACAUUAAAAAACAAC